This 959-nucleotide ribosomal RNA is filed under the name Eimeria sp. RNAcentral describes it as "partial 23S ribosomal RNA". It matches the Rfam family "Bacterial large subunit ribosomal RNA", at positions 1293 to 2369 of the family's 2925-position model. The record is from RNAcentral. Lineage: Eukaryota; Apicomplexa; Conoidasida; Eucoccidiorida; Eimeriidae.
AAUGUCAGUUUAAGUAGCAUAAAUAUUAGUAAAAUCUAAUACUCCGAAAGCUAAAAGGUCUCCUACGAAAGGAUAUACCACGUAGGGAAAGUCGGGGCCUAAGAUUAGAUUGUAUAUAUAAUCGAUGGGUAAUAGGUUAAAAUUCCUAUACCAUAAUAUAUCUAAAAACAAAUAGUGACCUAUAAUAUUUAUUAUAUUUUAAGAUAUAGUUACUUAAUGUACUAAUUUUUUAUAGCUUGAAAAAUGUAUAUGUUAUAAAUAUAUUAUGCCCGUACUAAAUCUGACACAAGUAAGUAUGUAUUAAUGUACUAAGGAGUACGAAAUAACUUUCUCUAAGGAACUCGGCAAAAUGAUCCUGUAACUUCGGGAUAAAGGAUGCCCAAAGGGCUGCAAUGAAAAGGUCCAAGCGACUGUUUAUCAAAAACACAAGUUCCCGCUAAGUUUAAUCACGAUGUAAGGGGGCUGACACCUGCCCAGUGCUGGUAAGUUAAAUAAAAUAUUUUUUCUAAAAGUAUUUUUAUAAGCUCCAGUAAACGGCGGCUGUAACUAUAACGGUCCAAAGGUAGCGAAAUUCCUUGUCGGGUAAGUUCCGACCUGCACGAAAGGUGUAACGACUUGGACGCUGUCUUAGAGAAAGAUUCGGUGAAAUAGAAAUGUCUGUGAAGAUACGGACUAUCUGCACCUGGACAGAAAGACCCUAUGAAGCUUUACUAUAUUUUGAAAUUAAAAAUAAAAUAUAUUUGCGUAGAAUAAGUGGGAAACUAAUUAGUUUAUCUUGAAAUACCACUCUUAUAUAUUAUAUUUUUUUAUUAUAAUAUUGUUAACCAAUUAUAAGAAAAUUUUAAAAAGGUAGUUUGACUGGGGCGGUAGCCUCCUAAAGAGCAACGGAGGUGUACAAAGGUCUUUUUUUUAAUUUAAAAUUUAUUUUUAAAAUAAAACUAUAAAGGGAAAAUAAGGCU